ACCUCAAAUCAGGUAAGAAUACCCGCUGAACUUAAGCAUAUCAAUAAGCGGAGGAAAAGAAAAUAACAAUGAUUCCCUCAGUAACGGCGAGCGAAGAGGGAUAAGCUCAAAUUUUAAAUCUGUUGGGUUCCACUUAACAGAGUUGUAUUUUGAAGAAACGUUUUCUGCAUCCAGGAUUAGCCUAAAUCCUUUGGGAUAAGGUAUCAUGGAGGGUGAGAAUCCCGUUCAUGGUUAAUCUUAAGGAAGCUCUACGAUACGUUUUCCAAGAGUCGAGUUGUUUGGGAUUGCAGCUCAAAAUGGGAGGUAAAUUUCUCCUAAGGCUAAAUAUUGGCGAGAGACCGAUAGCGAACAAGUACCGUGAGGGAAAGAUGAAAAGAACUUUGAAAAGAGAGUUAAACAGUACGUGAAAUUGUUGAAAGGGAAACGAUUGAAGUCAGUCAUACCAACGGGAAAUCAACCUUUUGAGCUCGGUCUCGUGGGUUUUGAAGAGUUUCAAAGCCUUCGGAUUCGCGGGAUUGGGAUCUCUUGGUGUACUUUUUCGUACGGUUAGUCAACAUCGGUUUUGGAUGUCAUAAAAUGACUGGAGGAAUGUAGCUUCGAUCUCGUAUUGAAGUGUUAUAGCCUUUGGUAGAUGUGAUGUUUGAGACCGAGGAUUGCAACGGAUACCCUUCAGGGCUAUUCGUCUGAUCUCUGAUACGUUGCCUUGAUGUUGAAAGCUUGCUUAUGAUGUUAGGGUAUUACGGUCAAAAGGUUAGAACGGAUUAGAUUCGUUAAGGAUGUUGACGUAAUGACUUUAAACGACCCGUCUUGAAACACGGACCAAGGAGUCUAACAUAUAUGCGAGUGUUC
This 849-nucleotide ribosomal RNA is filed under the name Funneliformis mosseae. RNAcentral describes it as "eukaryotic LSU rRNA". It matches the Rfam family "Eukaryotic large subunit ribosomal RNA", at positions 1 to 695 of the family's 3401-position model. The record is from RNAcentral. Lineage: Eukaryota; Fungi; Glomeromycota; Glomeromycetes; Glomerales; Glomeraceae.